This 307-nucleotide ribosomal RNA is filed under the name uncultured soil bacterium. RNAcentral's name for it is "bacterial SSU rRNA". It matches the Rfam family "Bacterial small subunit ribosomal RNA", at positions 26 to 362 of the family's 1533-position model. The record is from RNAcentral.
AGAACGAACGCUGGCGGCAGGCCUAACACAUGCAAGUCGAACGCUCCGCAAGGAGAGUGGCAGACGGGUGAGUAACGCGUGGGAAUUUCCCCCAAGGUUCGGAAUAACUGAGGGAAACUUCAGCUAAUACCGAAUGGUACCGAGAGGUUAAAGAUUUAUCGCCUUGGGAUGAGCCCGCGUUGGAUUAGCUAGUUGGUGAGGUAACGGCUCACCAAGGCUUUGAUCCAUAGCUGGUCUGAGAGGACGACCAGCCACACUGGGACUGAGACACGGCCCAGACUCCGUACGGGAGGCAGCAGUGGGGAAU